UCGGCAACGGAUAUCUCGGCUCUCGCAUCGAUGAAGAACGUAGCGAAAUGCGAUACCUGGUGUGAAUUGCAGAAUCCCGCGAACCAUCGAGUCUUUGAACGCAAGUUGCGCCCGAGGCCAUCCGGCCGAGGGCACGCCUGCCUGGGCGUCACGCCAAAAGACGCU
Molecule: ribosomal RNA, 165 nt
Filed under: Raddia distichophylla
Lineage: Eukaryota; Viridiplantae; Streptophyta; Magnoliopsida; Poales; Poaceae
Description: 5.8S ribosomal RNA
Rfam family: 5.8S ribosomal RNA
About the family: 5.8S ribosomal RNA (5.8S rRNA) is a component of the large subunit of the eukaryotic ribosome. It is transcribed by RNA polymerase I as part of the 45S precursor that also contains 18S and 28S rRNA.
Source: RNAcentral